RNAcentral lists this ribosomal RNA (301 nucleotides) under uncultured bacterium. Its description in RNAcentral is "partial 16S ribosomal RNA". It matches the Rfam family "Bacterial small subunit ribosomal RNA", at positions 509 to 809 of the family's 1533-position model. The record is from RNAcentral.
CAGUAGCCGCGGUAAUACGUAGGUGGCAAGCGUUGUCCGGAAUUAUUGGGCGUAAAGGGCUCGCAGGCGGUUUCUUAAGUCUGAUGUGAAAGCCCCCGGCUCAACCGGGGAGGGUCAUUGGAAACUGGGAAACUUGAGUGCAGAAGAGGAGAGUGGAAUUCCACGUGUAGCGGUGAAAUGCGUAGAGACGUGGAGGAACACCAGUGGCGAAGGCGACUCUCUGGUCUGCAACUGACGCCGAGGAGCGAAAGUGUGGGGAGCGAACAGGAUUAGAUACCCCAGUAGUCCCUGUCUCUUAUAU